GGGUUGUGAGGUUAAGCGACUAAGCGUACACGGUGGAUGCCCUGGCAGUCAGAGGCGAUGAAGGACGUGCUAAUCUGCGAUAAGCGUCGGUAAGGUGAUAUGAACCGUUAUAACCGGCGAUUUCCGAAUGGGGAAACCCAGUGUGUUUCGACACACUAUCAUUAACUGAAUCCAUAGGUUAAUGAGGCGAACCGGGGGAACUGAAACAUCUAAGUACCCCGAGGAAAAGAAAUCAACCGAGAUUCCCCCAGUAGCGGCGAGCGAACGGGGAGGAGCCCAGAGCCUGAAUCAGUGUGUGUGUUAGUGGAAGCGUCUGGAAAGGCGCGCGAUACAGGGUGACAGCCCCGUACACAAAAAUGCACAUAYUGUGAGCUCGAUGAGUAGGGCGGGACACGUGGUAUCCUGUCUGAAUAUGGGGGGACCAUCCUCCAAGGCUAAAUACUCCUGACUGACCGAUAGUGAACCAGUACCGUGAGGGAAAGGCGAAAAGAACCCCGGCGAGGGGAGUGAAAAAGAACCUGAAACCGUGUACGUACAAGCAGUGGGAGCCUCUUUUAUGGGGUGACUGCGUACCUUUUGUAUAAUGGGUCAGCGACUUAUAUUCUGUAGCAAGGUUAACCGAAUAGGGGAGCCGAAGGGAAACCGAGUCUUAACUGGGCGUUAAGUUGCAGGGUAUAGACCCGAAACCCGGUGAUCUAGCCAUGGGCAGGUUGAAGGUUGGGUAACACUAACUGGAGGACCGAACCGACUAAUGUUGAAAAAUUAGCGGAUGACUUGUGGCUGGGGGUGAAAGGCCAAUCAAACCGGGAGAUAGCUGGUUCUCCCCGAAAGCUAUUUAGGUAGCGCCUCGUGAACUCAUCUCCGGGGGUAGAGCACUGUUUCGGCAAGGGGGUCAUCCCGACUUACCAACCCGAUGCAAACUGCGAAUACCGGAGAAUGUUAUCACGGGAGACACACGGCGGGUGCUAACGUCCGUCGUGAAGAGGGAAACAACCCAGACCGCCAGCUAAGGUCCCAAAGUCAUGGUUAAGUGGGAAACGAUGUGGGAAGGCCCAGACAGCCAGGAUGUUGGCUUAGAAGCAGCCAUCAUUUAAAGAAAGCGUAAUAGCUCACUGGUCGAGUCGGCCUGCGCGGAAGAUGUAACGGGGCUAAACCAUGCACCGAAGCUGCGGCAGCGACACUAUGUGUUGUUGGGUAGGGGAGCGUUCUGUAAGCCUGUGAAGGUGURCUGUGAGGYAUGCUGGAGGUAUCAGAAGUGCGAAUGCUGACAUAAGUAACGAUAAAGCGGGUGAAAAGCCCGCUCGCCGGAAGACCAAGGGUUCCUGUCCAACGUUAAUCGGGGCAGGGUGAGUCGACCCCUAAGGCGAGGCCGAAAGGCGUAGUCGAUGGGAAACAGGUUAAUAUUCCUGUACUUGGUGUUACUGCGAAGGGGGGACGGAGAAGGCUAUGUUGGCCGGGCGACGGUUGUCCCGGUUUAAGCGUGUAGGCUGGUUUUCCAGGCAAAUCCGGAAAAUCAAGGCUGAGGCGUGAUGACGAGGCACUACGGUGCUGAAGCAACAAAUGCCCUGCUUCCAGGAAAAGCCUCUAAGCAUCAGGUAACAUCAAAUCGUACCCCAAACCGACACAGGUGGUCAGGUAGAGAAUACCAAGGCGCUUGAGAGAACUCGGGUGAAGGAACUAGGCAAAAUGGUGCCGUAACUUCGGGAGAAGGCACGCUGAUAUGUAGGUGAAGUCCCUCGCGGAUGGAGCUGAAAUCAGUCGAAGAUACCAGCUGGCUGCAACUGUUUAUUAAAAACACAGCACUGUGCAAACACGAAAGUGGACGUAUACGGUGUGACGCCUGCCCGGUGCCGGAAGGUUAAUUGAUGGGGUYAGCGCAAGCGAAGCUCUUGAUCGAAGCCCCGGUAAACGGCGGCCGUAACUAUAACGGUCCUAAGGUAGCGAAAUUCCUUGUCGGGUAAGUUCCGACCUGCACGAAUGGCGUAAUGAUGGCCAGGCUGUCUCCACCCGAGACUCAGUGAAAUUGAACUCGCUGUGAAGAUGCAGUGUACCCGCGGCAAGACGGAAAGACCCCGUGAACCUUUACUAUAGCUUGACACUGAACAUUGAGCCUUGAUGUGUAGGAUAGGUGGGAGGCUUAGAAGUGUGGACGCCAGUCUGCAUGGAGCCGACCUUGAAAUACCACCCUUUAAUGUUUGAUGUUCUAACGUKGACCCGUGAUCCGGGUUGCGGACAGUGUCUGGUGGGUAGUUUGACUGGGGCGGUCUCCUCCUAAAGAGUAACGGAGGAGCACGAAGGUUGGCUAAUCCUGGUCGGACAUCAGGAGGUUAGUGCAAUGGCAUAAGCCAGCUUGACUGCGAGCGUGACGGCGCGAGCAGGUGCGAAAGCAGGUCAUAGUGAUCCGGUGGUUCUGAAUGGAAGGGCCAUCGCUCAACGGAUAAAAGGUACUCCGGGGAUAACAGGCUGAUACCGCCCAAGAGUUCAUAUCGACGGCGGUGUUUGGCACCUCGAUGUCGGCUCAUCACAUCCUGGGGCUGAAGUAGGUCCCAAGGGUAUGGCUGUUCGCCAUUUAAAGUGGUACGCGAGCUGGGUUUAGAACGUCGUGAGACAGUUCGGUCCCUAUCUGCCGUGGGCGCUGGAGAAYUGAGGGGGGCUGCUCCUAGUACGAGAGGACCGGAGUGGACGCAUCACUGGUGUUCGGGUUGUCAUGCCAAUGGCACUGCCCGGUAGCUAAAUGCGGAAGAGAUAAGUGCUGAAAGCAUCUAAGCACGAAACUUGCCCCGAGAUGAGUUCUCCCUGACYCYUURAGRGKCCUGAAGGAACGUUGAAGACGACGACGUUGAUAGGCCGGGUGUGUAAGCGCAGCGAUGCGUUGAGCUAACCGGUACUAAUGAACCGUGAGGCUUAACCUUACAACGCCGAAGCUGUU
RNAcentral lists this ribosomal RNA (2929 nucleotides) under Escherichia coli. RNAcentral describes it as "23S ribosomal RNA". Lineage: Bacteria; Pseudomonadati; Pseudomonadota; Gammaproteobacteria; Enterobacterales; Enterobacteriaceae. The record is from RNAcentral.